UACAGAGGUCUCAAGCGUUGUUCGGAUUCAUUGGGCGUAAAGGGUGCGUAGGCGGCGCGGUAAGUCGGGUGUGAAAUCUCGGAGCUUAACUCCGAAACUGCAUUCGAUACUGCCGUGCUUGAGGACUGGAGAGGAGACUGGAAUUUACGGUGUAGCGGUGAAAUGCGUAGAUAUCGGGAGGAACACCGAUGGCGAAGGCAGGUCUCUGGGCCACUACUGACGCUGAGAAGCGAAAGCAUGGGGAGCGAACAGG
This 253-nucleotide ribosomal RNA is filed under the name uncultured bacterium. RNAcentral's name for it is "partial 16S ribosomal RNA". It matches the Rfam family "Bacterial small subunit ribosomal RNA", at positions 524 to 776 of the family's 1533-position model. The record is from RNAcentral.